This 468-nucleotide ribosomal RNA is filed under the name uncultured bacterium. Its description in RNAcentral is "partial 16S ribosomal RNA". It matches the Rfam family "Bacterial small subunit ribosomal RNA", at positions 28 to 507 of the family's 1533-position model. The record is from RNAcentral.
GACGAACGCUGGCGGCGUGCUUAACACAUGCAAGUCGAACGGAAAGGCCCUGCUUUUGUGGGGUGCUCGAGUGGCGAACGGGUGAGUAACACGUGAGUAACCUGCCCUUGACUUUGGGAUAACUUCAGGAAACUGGGGCUAAUACCGGAUAGGAGCUCCUGCUGCAUGGUGGGGGUUGGAAAGUUUCGGCGGUUGGGGAUGGACUCGCGGCUUAUCAGCUUGUUGGUGGGGUAGUGGCUUACCAAGGCUUUGACGGGUAGCCGGCCUGAGAGGGUGACCGGCCACAUUGGGACUGAGAUACGGCCCAGACUCCUACGGGAGGCAGCAGUGGGGAAUAUUGCCCAAUGGGCGGAAGCCUGAUGCAGCAACGCCGCGUGCGGGAUGACGGCCUUCGGGUUGUAAACCGCUUUCGCCUGUGACGAAGCGUGAGUGACGGUAAUGGGUAAAGAAGCACCGGCUAAGUACGUG